RNAcentral lists this ribosomal RNA (692 nucleotides) under Geobacteraceae bacterium. RNAcentral's name for it is "bacterial SSU rRNA". It matches the Rfam family "Bacterial small subunit ribosomal RNA", at positions 854 to 1533 of the family's 1533-position model. Lineage: Bacteria; Pseudomonadati; Thermodesulfobacteriota; Desulfuromonadia; Geobacterales; Geobacteraceae. The record is from RNAcentral.
AACGCGUUAAGCGUGCCGCCUGGGAAGUACGGUCGCAAGACUAAAACUCAAAGAAAUUGACGGGGACCCGCACAAGCGGUGGAGUAUGUGGCUUAAUUCGAUGCAACGCGAAGAACCUUACCUGGGCUUGACAUGCAUCUCUAAGCGCGUGAAAGCGCGUGACCCUUCGGGGGAUUUGCACAGGUGCUGCAUGGCCGUCGUCAGCUCGUGUCGUGAGAUGUUGGGUUAAGUCCCGCAACGAGCGCAACCCUUGUGAACAGUUGCCAGCGCGUCAUGGCGGGAACUCUGUUCAGACUGCCCAGAUCAACUGGGAGGAAGGUGGGGACGACGUCAGGUCAGUAUGGCCCUUACGCCCAGGGCUGCACACGUACUACAAUGCCCGGCACAAUGAGAACCGAAACCGCGAGGUGGAGGAAAUCUGGAAAACCGGGCCCAGUUCGGAUUGGAGGCUGCAACCCGCCUCCAUGAAGUUGGAAUCGCUAGUAAUGGCGCAUCAGCUACGGCGCCGUGAAUACGUUCCCGGGUCUUGUACACACCGCCCGUCACAUCAUGGAAGCCGGUCGCACCCGAAGUGCCCGCGCCAACCCGCAAGGGGGGCAGGGUCCUAAGGUGUAGCUGGUAACUGGGAUGAAGUCGUAACAAGGUAGCCGUAGGGGAACCUGCGGCUGGAUCACCUCCUUUCUACGGAGAAA